GAUGAACGCUGGCGGCGUGCCUAAUACAUGCAAGUCGAGCGAACAGAUGAGGAGCUUGCUCCUCUGACGUUAGCGGCGGACGGGUGAGUAACACGUGGAUAACCUACCUAUAAGACUGGGAUAACUUCGGGAAACCGGAGCUAAUACCGGAUAAUAUAUUGAACCGCAUGGUUCAAUAGUGAAAGACGGUUUUGCUGUCACUUAUAGAUGGAUCCGCGCCGCAUUAGCUAGUUGGUAAGGUAACGGCAUACCAAGGCAACGAUGCGUAGCCGACCUGAGAUGGUGAUCUGCCACACGGGAACUGGGACACGCUCCGGACUCCUGCGGGUGGGAACGGUAGGGAACCGGGCGCAGAGGGCUCAGACCUUACACAACACCGCCGCAUACGGGAGGAGGUUCCUCCGAUCGUAAAACACUGUCAGUAGUGAAGACCAAGUGUGUAAUUACCUAUGCCCAUCUUGACGGUCCCCUGGCAGAAGGCCACCCCUGACUUCUUC
Molecule: ribosomal RNA, 497 nt
Filed under: uncultured bacterium
Lineage: Bacteria
Description: partial 16S ribosomal RNA
Rfam family: Bacterial small subunit ribosomal RNA
Source: RNAcentral